This is a long non-coding RNA of Pieris napi, 969 nucleotides long. RefSeq lists it as uncharacterized. The record is from RefSeq and is a predicted model, not a curated record. NCBI's taxonomy places the organism in Eukaryota, Metazoa, Arthropoda, Insecta, Lepidoptera, Pieridae. The transcript has 3 exons.
AGAGCAAUUUAGCUCAGAGUAUGUUCCUGGCUGGUGGCAGAGGUGGUUACGCGGGUGCGGCCUUGCAGGGACCACUCGCGUACUUGGAGAAGACUGCGACCAAUAUAGACAUGGUGGGGCUGGGUGAUGGGCGAAGGUGACGCGGUCGCGGGAGGGGAAGGGGGCGUGGACGUGGCAGAGGCAGAGGUCGCGGUGCAUCCCCUGAAUACGGUGGUAGCUUGACGCCUCCGUAGCCCUCCCUCCCCGCGGGGACCUCCCCCGCCCCUCACUCAUUCGCUGAUCUACUAGAUUCACUCAUGUCUUAACUAUGCUAGUGUAGAUACUCUACAUACUUUGUGGGGUGGAUUUCAGUACAUAGAUGGAGACGGAUAUUUUAUUAUAAUAUAUGUCAAAGACGUUAUAGUUACACCAUAUAUAAUUCAAGAACGGCCGGACAAAUUUUCAUGAUAUAGUGUUUUUGAAUAUAAAUAUAAUAUUCAUAUUCAAAGUUCAUUUGUUAUAAAUGGUAUAAACGCACUGACAGCUCCUGUAAUCUAUGGUUAGUUUUAAAAAUGACGUAUAUUGAAAUUGAACUGACCAGUUGUUUGUUAAACUAAAUAAUUUUAAAAUCUUGACAUUGACAUUACGAGCUUUGCCGAAACUUGUCUGCCUCCAUUAGUAAAUCAGUGAGUGACAUAGAGUGAGUUUAUUUAGAGAAUGCAGUGAUAUGUAAGACUCUCAGAGUAAUUACUCUAUUAUACCAACAGAUAACGAAACCUCCGAGUAUCGGUAUGUCUGUAAGGUUAGAAAAUUUUAUAGUGAUGAGCCAUGUUUGUAGUAGGUUAGCCACUAAAGAUUUUGAUUUAGGCCGCUAACUCACCGGGACGCCACGGUGACGUCACCGGCUACGUAGGCAUAACUACCCUUUGCUAGCCAACUGGACUCGCCAGCAGCUGUCUAUCUGACAGUUCUCUCAGGUUUCGUAUUGAG